RNAcentral lists this ribosomal RNA (253 nucleotides) under uncultured bacterium. RNAcentral's name for it is "partial 16S ribosomal RNA". It matches the Rfam family "Bacterial small subunit ribosomal RNA", at positions 524 to 776 of the family's 1533-position model. The record is from RNAcentral.
UACGGAGGGGGCUAGCGUUGUUCGGAAUUACUGGGCGUAAAGCGUACGUAGGCGGACAGGGAAGUUGGGGGUGAAAUCCCGGGGCUCAACCCCGGAACUGCCUCCAAAACUCCCUGUCUGGAGGAUGAGAGAGGCGAGUGGAAUUCCGAGUGUAGAGGUGAAAUUCGUAGAUAUUCGGAGGAACACCAGUGGCGAAGGCGGCUCGCUGGCUCAUUUCUGACGCUGAGGUGCGAAAGCGUGGGGAGCAAACAGG